UACGUAGGUGGCAAGCGUUGUCCGGAUUUACUGGGUGUAAAGGGCGUGCAGCCGGGCUGACAAGUCAGAUGUGAAAUCCCGCGGCUCAACCGCGGAACUGCAUUUGAAACUGUCAGUCUUGAGUACCGGAGAGGUCAUCGGAAUUCCUUGUGUAGCGGUGAAAUGCGUAGAUAUAAGGAAGAACACCAGUGGCGAAGGCGGCUUGCUGGACGAUGACUGACGUUGAGGCUCGAAAGCGUGGGGAGCAAACAGG
Molecule: ribosomal RNA, 253 nt
Filed under: uncultured bacterium
Lineage: Bacteria
Description: partial 16S ribosomal RNA
Rfam family: Bacterial small subunit ribosomal RNA
Source: RNAcentral